UGGGGGAUAUUGCACAAUGGGCGAAAGCCUGAUGCAGCGACGCCGCGUGGGGGAUGAAGGCUUUCGGGUUGUAAACCUCUUUCGCUAUCGAACAAGGCCCGCUUAGGGUGGGUUGAGGGUAGGUGGAGAAGAAGCGCCGGCUAACUACGUGCCAGCAGCCGCGGUAAUACGUAGGGCGCGAGCGUGGUCCGGAAUUAUUGGGCGUAAAGGGCUUGUAGGCGGCUUGUUGCGCCUGCUGUGAAAACGCGGGGCUUAACUUCGCGCGUGCAGUGGGUACGGGCAGGCUUGAGUGUGGUAGGGGUGACUGGAAUUCCAGGUGUAGCGGUGGGAUGCGCAGAUAUCUGGAGGAACACCGAUGGCGAAGGCAGGUCACUGGGCCAUUACUGACGCUGAGGAGCGAAAGCAUGGGUAGCGAACAGG
This 420-nucleotide ribosomal RNA is filed under the name bacterium. RNAcentral's name for it is "partial 16S ribosomal RNA". It matches the Rfam family "Bacterial small subunit ribosomal RNA", at positions 355 to 776 of the family's 1533-position model. The record is from RNAcentral.